RNAcentral lists this ribosomal RNA (457 nucleotides) under uncultured earthworm cast bacterium. Its description in RNAcentral is "bacterial SSU rRNA". It matches the Rfam family "Bacterial small subunit ribosomal RNA", at positions 55 to 510 of the family's 1533-position model. The record is from RNAcentral.
AUGCAAGUCGAACGGGAAAGCGGGGGCAACUCCGCGAGUAUAGUGGCAGACGGGUGANUAACACGUGAACAAUCUACCCUUGAGAGGGGAAUAACCCCGCGAAAGCGGGGCUAAUACCGCAUAACAUCCCUGAGUCGCAUGGCACAGGGAUCAAAGGCUUNNGUCGCUCAAGGAGGAGUUCGCGGCUGAUUAGCUAGUUGGUGGGGUAACGGCUCACCAAGGCGACGAUCAGUAGCCGGCCCGAGAGGGCGUACGGCCACACUGGAACUGAGACACGGUCCAGACUCCUACGGGAGGCAGCAGUGGGGAAUUUUGCGCAAUGGGCGAAAGCCUGACGCANCAACGCCGCGUGGAGGAUGAAGGCCUUCUGGUCGUAAACUCCUGUCAGGGGGGACGAAACGCCCAGCAAUGGGCAUUGACUGUACCCUCUGAGGAAGCCACGGCUAACUCCGUGCCA